GUCUAUGGCCAUGCCACCCUGAAUAAGCUUGAUGUCAGAUCUCGGAAGCUAAGCAGAGUCGGGCCUGGUUAGUACUUGGACAGGAGACCCCCUUGGAAGACCAGGUGCUAUAGCAA
Pteropus vampyrus (large flying fox) is the source of this 116-nucleotide ribosomal RNA. NCBI's taxonomy places the organism in Eukaryota, Metazoa, Chordata, Mammalia, Chiroptera, Pteropodidae. The record is from Ensembl.